Molecule: ribosomal RNA, 845 nt
Filed under: uncultured bacterium
Lineage: Bacteria
Description: bacterial SSU rRNA
Rfam family: Bacterial small subunit ribosomal RNA
Source: RNAcentral
CGGUAAAACGUAGGACGCGAGCGUUAUCCGGAUUUACUGGGCGUAAAGCGCGUUGAGGCGGUCCCGUAAGUUGGGCGUGAAAGCCCCGGGCUCAACCCGGGGAGGCCGUUCAAUACUGCGGGACUUGAGGGCAGGAGAGGGAGGUGGAAUUCCCGGUGUAGUGGUGAAAUGCGUAGAUAUCGGGAGGAACACCAGUGGCGAAGGCGGCCUCCUGGCCUGUCCCUGACGCUGAAGGCGAAAGCUAGGGGAGCGAACGGGAUUAGAUACCCCGGUAGUCCUAGCCGUAAACGAUGGAUGCUAGGUGUGGGGGGAGAGAUUCCCUCCGUGCCGAAGCUAACGCGUUAAGCAUCCCGCCUGGGGACUACGGCCGCAAGGCUAAAACUCAAACGAAUUGACGGGGGCCCGCACAAGCAGCGGAGCGUGUGAUUUAAUUCGAUGCUACACGAAGAACCUUACCUGGGCUUGACAUGCGCGUGGUAGGGAUCCGAAAGGUGACCGACCUUCGGGAGCGCGCACAGGUGCUGCAUGGCUGUCGUCAGCUCGUGCCGUGAGGUGUCGGGUUAAGUCCCGUAACGAGCGCAACCCCUGCCCCUAGUUACAAGUGUCUAGGGGGACUGCCCGGGAUAACUGGGAGGAAGGUGGGGAUGACGUCAAGUCAGCAUGGCCUUUAUGUCCAGGGCUACACACACGCUACAAUGGCCGGUACAAUGGGUUGCCAAGCCGCGAGGCGGAGCCAAUCCCCCAAAGCCGGUCUCAGUUCGGAUUGCAGGCUGCAACUCGCCUGCAUGAAGCUGGAGUUGCUAGUAACCGCGCGUCAGCAAUAGUGCGGUGAAUACGUUCCCGGG